Molecule: ribosomal RNA, 253 nt
Filed under: uncultured bacterium
Lineage: Bacteria
Description: partial 16S ribosomal RNA
Rfam family: Bacterial small subunit ribosomal RNA
Source: RNAcentral
UACGGGGGGGGCAAGCGUUGUCCGGAAUUAUUGGGCGUAAAGGGCGCGUAGGCGGAAUGGUAAGUUGAGGGUGAAAGCCCGGGGCUUAACCCCGGGUCUGCCUUCAAGACUGCUAUUCUUGAGUAUGGAAGAGGGAAGUGGAAUUCCCGGUGUAGCGGUGAAAUGCGUAGAUAUCGGGAAGAACACCAGUAGCGAAGGCGGCUUCCUGGUCCAUUACUGACGCUGAGGCGCGAAAGUGUGGGGAGCAAACAGG